GUGUGUGUAAGUGUGAAAAAGUGUGUGUGUGAGCCGACAAAGCCCCGCCCCCACCUCUCCGUCGCCUGAACGAGGGAUGAAUAAAGACACAGGAGGAGGAAGAUGAGGAGGAGGACCGUGGACUACAGGACUACAGGAUCGGAUAUCUAAUCUAAUCUAAGCUGAACUGCUGCAUCGGAUUAUUAUCGUCACGGCAACGCCAGGCUCCGGAUCUCUACAGUACAACUGCAUGACCUUCUAGACUCCGCCUACUUACAGCAAUCAGCUCCAUAUACACUGUGUGUGUGUGUGCACGAGUGUGCGUGUGUGUGCACGAGUGUGUGUGUGUGUGUGUGUGCACGAGUGUGUGUGAGAGGGAGAGAGUGUGAUUAAAAAAAAACUACACAUUAACAAAUAACACACAAUUUUAAAAAAGCCCUUUUGUAGCUGGAAUGUGUUUUUCCCCCCAGAUUUUUUUUGGAUUUGCCGAAAUUUGGUUAAUUUUUCCGAAUUUUCGCAUGAUUAGACUGAGAUAGACUAGUUUCUCAGGAGUUUCUGGGUAAUUUUCUCUUUUAUGUUUUUUUUUUUAUCCUUUGUGAUUUUAUUCCCGUCCAGAACGAUCAUGUGUGUCUUUCUCAGACGUCCUCUGAGAUAAAAAAUUACAUUCUGAAUUAUCUACUGUUUUUCUCUGAACUCUUUUUCUUGGUCCUCCGGUAAUUUUAGUCCCGUCCGGACGCACAUCUCUGAGUUUCGUCUCCUCGCCUUUAAUAAAAUAGAUAUUUGUCCACUGCCGCGCACUGAGUUACUUUUAAACUUUGGCCGCGCCACGGUUUCCACUGAGAUCCACGUUAAAAAACAAAAACAGUGAGUGGAAAUGGAGGAGCUACUGAACUCGAUGAGUGAUGUCAUGUGACUGAGAAAAAAGCCUAAAAACUCACUGAUCCUCCUGUUUUUUUUUUAGUUGCAGUCCGGAUGCAGGAGUUUUAUCACUAAAGAGUAGAAGUGUGUAAUAUUUUUCCCGUCUGGAUAGGGCAAAAAAAUAUAUAAUAAUUUAGCUAGUCAUUUGCUUUAAUUUAGAAUUGUAGGCUAAUUUUGUGUGUUGGUGGAUUUCCCACCUUCUACAGUAGCUAAUGCUAAUGUAGCUAAAGUAGCAAAAGUCCUGGUUCUACACAGAUGUGCUUAUGUUAAUUUACAGUAAGCUUAGAUUUCCAAUAUUUUUUCCAAGGGUGGGCGCCAGCUGUGGUUAGCAAAUGCUUAGCUAGCCCCGGUUAGCAGCUCUAGCCAGCCGUAGUUAGCAACACUAUCACCAGCUGCGGUUAGUAGCACUAGCACUAGCUGCGGUUAACAGAGCUUAGACAGCCCUGGUUAGCAGCACUAUAGCACUAGCUGCAGUUAGCAGCAUUAGCACUAGCUGCAGUUAGCAGCGCUAGCACUAGCUGCAGUUAGCGCUAGUAAAUGCUGCCCGAUAGAGCUAGACUGAGGUUCCCUGAGUGUUCCGGUAACUGAGGGCACUAAUACGACAAAAACCCAAACUACAGUCUGAUAUACUCACCUCUGAACGUUAAAAGAGCUAGCGCUGCAGUUAGCGGCUUAUGCUAACGCUAAUGCUGCUGCACCCAGCCUUAGUUUUGAGGAUACUUCAAUGAAAACUCACCCUUAUAUCAAACUCUGUACUUCAGCAGAGGGGCUUUACUGCUCCUCAAUACCUGACUGGUAGAAUUCAUACAUUAUUAUAAGGCGCAUUAUAGAUUUUGGGGGAAAUUAAAGGAUUUUAAGUGCACCUUAUAGUGCGAAAAAUACGGUAGUUAUCUAAUUUGGCUAGCUAAAAUUUGGCGGAACCGCUAGUCUCAUUUUAAAUCUGUGGGAAAGCUAAUCCAGCUCCAGUUGGGCUAAAGCUAAAGCUACAAACAUCACUUGUGUAGUACACACUAGUACAAUCUUAUGAUGCUCAGAGUACACAACUCCCUCAGUGUGUGUGUGUGUGUGUGUGUGUGUGUUAGUGUGUGUGUGUGUGUGUGUUGCGCAUGGGGGAAGUGGAUUCAGAGACCAGCCCUGAUGCUUCUUACUUGGCGUUGUCGGCAGAAAAACCCGGAAACUCGCCGCCUCACCGCUAUCCUGCUGUUCCACAUACUCGGCUACUCUACUAUGCAUUUUAACAGCUGAUGCACACUAGCCAAUCAGACGAAGCCAUGGACGUCAGAGUCAGCUGACCACUGCUACAGACACUACGGGCAUUACAUGGCGAAGGCAUGCAUCUACGGUCCGACCGGUCGCGUCCCAAUCCUCCCUCUACAGCUGUUCUCUUCGGUACUUACGAACACACGUUUUUAAAGGGGUGCUAAUACUUAUGCCUUUCCUCAAUCCAUCCAUCCAUCCAUCCAUCCAUCAAUAUAUAUAUAAAUAUACAUACGAGUCGCUCAGAGCAUUCUAGAUUUCACGUUUCCUCGUUUCCUCAUGUCGUUCUGUUCUAGAUAAUGUUUAGUUGGGUACUAGUUGGGUUGCUGUGUGUUUGUGGAGAAUAGUGAGAAAGAGAGAAAUAGGGGAUUGUGGGAAAUGUAGGAAAUAGACAUGCUGAGAAAUCCAAUUUAAGAGAAGCUCAGGUGGUUUUUGACCAGUUGAAAAGUUGGACAUCCAGGUAAAAACAGACCUUAAAGUAGUAAGCGAGCUCUUGACCAGCAUAGUGAAUAAUGCAAUUGAUUUUGGACAUUUUGGAUGUCCAACUUGACCAAGAAGACCAAGCUGGUCUGCAUGAAAUCGCCUGGUUCACCAGGUUGGUCAUGUUGGUCGUCCAGCUUACUUAGGCUAGUAAGCCGUCUUGGACUUGUUGGUCAUGCUAGCCAUGCUAACCAACCAGACUGGUCAUCCAAGCUUGGUUGUACAAGUCAUGAUGGUUGUCUAGCUUGGUCAGAAUGGUGAUCUUGGUUGACCAGCUUGGUCACGCUAACCAACCACCCUGGUAAUGCUAGUUGCUAUCUUGGUAAACUAGCUUGGCACUAGUCAUGAAUGUUGUCCAACUUGGUCUAGCUGGUCUUAGUGGUUCUUUAGCUUGGUCAUAUUCUAGUUGACCAGCUUCGUCAACCAAUGCUAGUACUACAUCUUGGCACUAGUAAUGAUGGUUGUCCAUCUUGGUCAAGUUGUCCUUAUUGAGCUCGGUCAAACAUGUCAUUCUGAUUGACCAGCUUGGUAACAUUGGUCAUGCUAAUCAACCAGCUUGGUUAUGCUAGCUAACUAGCUAUCUUAUGCCGACCUACCACCAAACGAUUGAAGGUUUAAAUUAGUCUUUUUUCUUGUUCUGGAGUUUAGAUAAAUCCAACCGUGUUAAAUAUUAUCGUAAGUCUAUUAUCUAGCCCUGAUGCUUCUUACUUGGCGUUGUCGCGCAGAAAAACCCGGAAACUGGCCGCCUCACCGCUAUCCUGCUGUUCCACAUACUCGGCUACUCUACUAUGCAUUUUAACAGCUGAUGCACACUAGCCAAUCAGACGAAGCCAUGAACCUGACCAACCGCGCGUAAUAUUACGCAAAAUAAAAGUCUUGAGACUCGGCUCACGCAAAUAAUGACCUGAACAAUUUCUACAACCUUUUGGCAAACCUUUCAGUUUCUCCUUUUCCAAACUUUUGGGGUAUAAAUGAAAUCCAUGUCCACUUCCUGUAGCUCUUCUCUUAUUGGUUGUUGAAGUGUUUGCAUCACUAUUUGCGAGCCAAGACUUAAGAAUUACGAUAAUAUUAAAAACGAUUGAUUUUAUCUUAUUUUAAAGCCAGGGCUAACAUUUGGUGAGACUUUUGCCUGAUAUCACUUAACUAGACAAAAGUAGAGUGCUAGCAUAACUAGUUGGUGUUCGUAGAGACAAUUGGCCGUCUAACUUGGCUAUCUAGGUAUUUUUUUUAGUGAAGACAAAUAGGAAAUUAGCUUGCUCAUUGAAGUUUUAUAGGCAAGUGGCUAGCUAAUUUAGCUAGCACAUAUUUAAAGGUAUAAUAAACUAGCUAAUUUAGCUAGCUAAAGUUUUAAAAAAACAAAUAAGAUGGCAAAAAAUGUUUGUGGAUAAUUUUAGCUAGCUCUAAUUUGCUAUCUUUAUGAAAAUUAUCUUAAAAAAGAAUAAUAAUGUGUGGCCACACCUUGUUAAAAUGUGGGAAGAAGAUAAUUAAGUCCUGGUUCUACACAGUUUUCUCUCCUAUAAACUGUUUAUUUCGGUGAGUAAAAAGCUUUAGUUUAUUUACAACAAGCUUAGAUUUUCAACAUUUUGUCCAAGGGUGAGCGCUAGCCGCAGUUAGCAAGUGCUUAGUUAACCUGGGUUAGCAGCACUAGCACUAGCUGCAGUUAGCAGCGCCUAGCCAGACCUGGCUAGCAGCACUAGCACUAGCUGUGGUUAGCAGCUCUAGCAUUAACUACAGUCCGAUAUACUCACCUCUGAAUGGCUAAAGAAGCUAGCGCUACAGGUUAGCAGAUAAUGCUAAUACUAUUUCUGCUGCACCCGGUUGAUUUUACCAAAAAACGGUUGAUUUCAUCUGAUUUUAACACCAGGAUGAAAAAAAGGCUAAUUUACACCUUUAAUCCCAACCAACUUGCACUGAAUCAUCGAGAUGGCGCCAUCGCAAGUCCACUUGAUUUUAUUCCGACUCUGGAAAUGUUUUUGUUUGUGACAAAAAGUGAAAUCGCGUGAGAAUCGUUUGGUUUAUGGUCGGCAGUAAUUGAAAUUAGCUUGGUUUUAUCGUUUUUUUUUUAUAAUCCAGAUUGAUCACGUUGGUUAUGCUAGUCUUCUCGAUUGAUCACCUGGAUGGGUUUGCUGAUUGAUGGGUUAAGGGAUGGAUGUUCAUUGGUUCUUACUUUAGUACACAGGUAUGCACAGGUACGCAGGUGUGUGUAGGUACGCAGGUGUGUAUGUGUGUGGGUAUAGAAUAGGAUUUACCUCAGAUCUACUCAAACGUACACCAGUUACUCUCCAGAAUUCACUGUGAAACUUCAGGAAGCUCCGCCCCCCACGCAUGAUCUGACCCAAUGCGGUCGCACCGUAGGAAACGCUAGAUUAGGUAGACGUCAUUUCUUCAGUGUGGAUGUUGAACUGAUACAUAACAUUAAAGUGAUAGUUUGGCAACCAAUCAAAUGCUAACGUCGCUAACAAGCAGUGGAAGUCUAUGACCACCAAUUAGCGAGCCGUAAGCAUCACAGUCGACACAGAUUAUCCAGUUUUGUGAUAAAAAGACUUUAAUUUUAACACCAAUCUGCCUUUUUUCAGCCUACAGCAGUUUAGCCCCGCCCACUCACAGUGCUAUAACUGUGAGUUAUAAGGAGUGUUUCAUCCCAGGCUGCUUUCUGAAAGAGGCUUAGCCAAUCAGUGCUGAGCUCGUAAAAAUGCACAAGGAUAAUGUUUAGUAAAAUUUUCUCAGAUUUGUUUGUUAGAAAAAUAAAGCUAAAUAAAGACAAAGCUUUUUUAAACUACAAGUGGAAAGUGGGUGUGGCUUUAAAAAUAAUUGGUAUGGAAAUUAUCUAAAAAGAAAUGCAUGUAAUUUAGUGCAUACAGUCCAUAUUUGGCUAAAAAAAAGUGAAUAGAAUAUUCACGCUAAAGUUGCUAAUGUAAAAGUUUAUUAGCAACAUGCUAAUUGGUUUACACAAAAAUCUGUCCUCUGAUUGGUUGUAUAUAGAGGAGAACUCCGGUAGGAAAUGGACUUGGGAUGUAGUAAAACAUGAUGACGAGUACGAAAUAUAGCACUUUGGGCUAUUCCACAAACAUUUGUACCAUAUUUUUCGCAAUAUAAGUUGCACUGAAUUAUGGGACACUAGUAAAGAACAAUGGUCGCGCCAUGUUUUCCUUCUAAUUCAGAGUUUACAGUAAGCUUAGAUUUCCAGAUUUCCACUAAGGCUUGGUGCGGCAGCAUUAGCAGCUAACCGCUAACCACACUUAGCGCUUCUAAAUGCCAUCCGACAGUGCUACACUGAGGAACCCUGAGAGUUCCAGAAAGCCAUGGUAAUAUUAGAUAUUAGCUAGCGGUUUGUCACAUGUAGCUUGUUUUAACACAGUAAAUGCGUAGACUACAGUCUGUUAUACUCAUCUCUGAACGUAGUAAGAGCUAGCGCUUAGUGCGGUUAGCUGCUUAUGCUUAUGCUGCUCCAGCAGUGCUUGCCAAAUUUAGCAGCAGGCUACAGGAUGAUAAUACUCACCUCUGAUCAGUGAAAGAGUUAGAACUUAGCGCUUAGUGUGGUUAGCGGCUAAUGCUAAUGCUGCUCCAGCAGUGCUUGCCAAAGUUAGCAGCAGGCUACAUGAUGAUAAUACUCACCUCUGAAUGAAAAAAGAGCUAGCACUUAGUGCUUAGUGCUGUGGUUAGCUGCUAAUGCUAAUACUGCUCCAGCAGUGCUAGCCAAAGUUAGCAGCAGGCUACAGGAUGAUAAUACUCCUCACAUCUGAACGAUGAAAGAGCUAGUGCUUAGUGCUGUGGCUAGCGGCUAAUGCUAAUGCCUAUUUAACACCAGAAAGGGAGAAAAUUGAAUUUGUCUUUUUUUGAUUGAAUUUGAUGGAAGUUGCUGAAUUAUUGCUUUAAAAAAAUGUAUCGCUAGUUUAUCAUCUGCUGUAAACAGGUGUGUGUGUGUGUGUGUGUGUGUGUGUGUAGAACUAUUUAAGACAUUUCUGUUUUUGUACGAAACCUUAUCUAUGACGACUAUAUUCAGGCUACUCUUUGAUCUUUGAUAUGUAUUUGUAAAUGUUUUUGCUUUGCGGAGAGAAGCGUGAGCGGCAGCAGCUGGAGCCCGAACGAGCCUUCGACCUGCUAACGGAGUGUGUCCCUCAGUGUGGGAGAGAACUCAGGGGCCACACACACACACACACACACACAUGCUGUGGCCCUCGAACGUUUGGACGUUUUGAGACGUUUUCAGGCCCUGUUUGAACUACGAGCACAAAAAACGGAGAGUGAACACGGAAUUACGGAAAACGUGAUUCAGCGUGAAAAAACGGACGUUGGUGACGUAAAAACAACGCCUUGUACAUUCCCCCCGUCCCCCCGUCCACCUUUUCUGCUGAAUGUCCAUCCCUGUACACGUGCUGUGACUAUCGGUGUGUAAUACGAGAAUGGAACAAAAGACUUUUAACGGAAAAAAAGAUAAAAAAUGGCUUUCUUUAUAAAUUAUUAUUCCGAUUCUGACGUUUGUAAACUGCUGAGGCGAAGUCCUCCCUCCUCCCCCUUAAAAACCUGCUCUUUCAACACAGAUCAGACCAGAAAAAAGAAAGAAAUUAGGAAAGAAAGAGA
Astyanax mexicanus (Mexican tetra) is the source of this 7215-nucleotide long non-coding RNA. RefSeq lists it as uncharacterized. The record is from RefSeq and is a predicted model, not a curated record. The transcript has 2 exons. Lineage: Eukaryota; Metazoa; Chordata; Actinopteri; Characiformes; Acestrorhamphidae.